This 492-nucleotide ribosomal RNA is filed under the name uncultured bacterium. Its description in RNAcentral is "partial 16S ribosomal RNA". It matches the Rfam family "Bacterial small subunit ribosomal RNA", at positions 29 to 507 of the family's 1533-position model. The record is from RNAcentral.
AGUGAACGCUGGCGGUAGGCCUAACACAUGCAAGUCGAACGGCAGCACAGUAAGAGCUUGCUCUUACGGGUGGCGAGUGGCGGACGGGUGAGGAAUACAUCGGACUCUACUUUUUCGUGGGGGAUAACGUAGGGAAACUUACGCUAAUACCGCAUACGACCUACGGGUGAAAGCAGGGGAUCUUCGGACCUUGCGCGAUUGAAUGAGCCGAUGUCGGAUUAGCUAGUUGGCGGGGUAAAGGCCCACCAAGGCGACGAUCCGUAGCUGGUCUGAGAGGAUGAUCAGCCACACUGGAACUGAGACACGGUCCAGACUCCUACGGGAGGCAGCAGUGGGGAAUAUUGGACAAUGGGCGCAAGCCUGAUCCAGCCAUACCGCGUGGGUGAAGAAGGCCUUCGGGUUGUAAAGCCCUUUUGUUGGGAAAGAAAAGCAGCAGGUUAAUACCCCGCUGUUCCGACGGUACCCAAAGAAUAAGCACCGGCUAACUUCGUG